AUGAUUGCGAAUGGUUGCCUUCAGUGCUGGCUCUUAAGAGCAAGUGCACGUUGGUGGCUUUCAUCCAAUACACACUCUUGUGAACCUUUGGCCUCUUGCUAGCUUUGGCUGGUAGAGGAUUUUUACAUAUACUCGCAUGUAAUGAAAACUAUUGUUGUGCGCAAGCACUAAUAUA
This 175-nucleotide unclassified non-coding RNA is filed under the name uncultured Sebacina. Its description in RNAcentral is "sequence contains ITS1". The record is from RNAcentral. Lineage: Eukaryota; Fungi; Basidiomycota; Agaricomycetes; Sebacinales; Sebacinaceae.